RNAcentral lists this ribosomal RNA (483 nucleotides) under uncultured bacterium. RNAcentral describes it as "partial 16S ribosomal RNA". It matches the Rfam family "Bacterial small subunit ribosomal RNA", at positions 30 to 506 of the family's 1533-position model. The record is from RNAcentral.
AUUGAACGCUGGCGGCAGGCCUAACACAUGCAAGUCGAGCGGAUGAAGGGGGCUUGCUCCUGGAUUCAGCGGCGGACGGGUGAGUAAUGCCUAGGAAUCUGCCUGGUCGUGGGGGAUAACGUCCGGAAACGGGCGCUAAUACCGCAUACGUCCUGAGGGAGAAAGUGGGGGAUCUUCAGACCUCACGCUAUCAGAUGAGCCUAGGUCGGAUUAGCUAGUUGGUGGGGUAAAGGCCUACCAAGGCGACGAUCCGUAACUGGUCUGAGAGGAUGAUCAGUCACACUGGAACUGAGACACGGUCCAGACUCCUACGGGAGGAAGCAGUGGGGAAUAUUGGACAAUGGGCGAAAGCCUGAUCCAGCCAUGCCGCGUGGGUGAAGAAGGUCUUCGGAUUGUAAAGCACUUUAAGUUGGGAGGAAGGGCAGUAAGUUAAUACCUUGCUGUUUUGACGUUACCAACAGAAUAAGCACCGGCUAACUUCGU